GUUUGAAAGCUGAACAGACAUGUAUAGAACUACAACGAAUGGGAGUGUUUAACUACUAAUGGCAUUGACCAUAAUGUUCUCGUACGAUCGGGAGACGUACUGUCUGACUAGACACGUUAAAAAAAUUAUCCAACAGCUGAUUCAGCCGGUAACGAAUUUCCGAUAUCAUAAAAGAUUCACAAAAGUCGAUUUGAAAAGCUCACUAGAGCUUGUGUUUAUGUAGUUUAUUGAAUAUCGACUCUAAAUAAAACUUCGAAUCUUGACAAUACAAAGGGAACUUCCUCUGCUUAAUUGAGCCCCUAAACAUGGUAAAUAAAAGUGAUUAGUUAACUUUUAAUUAAAAUUACCGAAAGCAAAGUUUCAUAUGCGUUCUCGUACGACAUAGGAAAUACUGAAUAACAGAUGGAUGGCCAGACGAAAUAAAAAACUAAAACAAAUUCUGAAAUGGUUCACUUUCGAUAAAAAAUCCUGAAAAUGACAGAUACAGUGUAUAUAUCACGUAUCACGAUAACACUGUUAAAACUGUAAACGUGUGUUGUUAAUAAUACAAAUUCAAGUUCUUCGUGUACAUAUUAUCAAUAUUUCUUUUUAUUACUUCAAAAAAAAAAUUGGUGCAGAAAAUUCAGGGGAGGCAACUGCCUCCCCUGCCUCAUAGGUAGUUACGGCCCU
RNAcentral lists this long non-coding RNA (669 nucleotides) under Mytilus galloprovincialis (Mediterranean mussel). Lineage: Eukaryota; Metazoa; Mollusca; Bivalvia; Mytilida; Mytilidae. The record is from RNAcentral.